AACUUUACAGUUUACAGUUAUGUUGUAAUUUCAUCGUAUUUGAAGUUACAAAUAAUUUGUUUUCCGGGACACAUCCCACAAAGGUUGUUUCCUGUGAAUGAAAGCAACAUGUUUGAGAAAUUAAGAUUAACUGUUUAUUUUAGUAAUGUGUGUGAUUUGCGUGAGUUUGAUUGGCAGUCUAGUUUAGAAAAUGAAUAACACAUCAGGUUAUUGUACACACUGGCGUUCUGUCUGUGACAGGAGGGUGAAAUAGGUUAACUAUGUUCUUUCAUAGGUCAGAGUUAUGUUAAUCUGGCUGUUGUAAGAAACAAAAACCUUCUGUGAGUUUCUCCCAGUCUGCGCACACUGGUUCGCUGUGCAUUUGCAGGCAAAACCUCAUGGUAGUUGGGUUGUUGAUCUGGAAGCAGAUGUGUUUCCUGUUGCACAUCAUACCGUUUGACCGUUAAGCCUACAGGUCUUCUAGUGCUCCAGGAACCUCUACUGGCUUAAGGUAACACUUGCUUAGUCCUGACAGCUGCUUGGGUCUGCUGUCUUGAUGUAGUAGUGCUAAUGUUUUAAAGAGCUACUUUUGCCAAGGACAACAUGAUCCAGUAUGCAAUACCGCUUAGUUAGUGUUACCACAUUGGUAUGUUAUUGCGGACAUCGGGACUGAGAUAGGGAGGCUUUAGUUUGAUGACGCCAUUUCUUGUUCCAUCACUCAUUGUGUUUACUCUGUCCAUUUGUCAAAGGCUUUGGGGAAUCCCAUUAGCGUAGAAGACGAACCCACAUUGAAUGACUGCCAUGGUUAAUCUGGUGCUGACCGAGGUCUUGUCCAGGAGACCGACGCUCUCGCAGGGAUGUAAAACCAGGUCAGGGGGCAGCUAUAAAAACCUUCAAUCACACUGUGCCGAGAUGUUCAGCGUUCAGUCAGAAGGCCGUCUUCGAGAGUGCAAUGCCAAUCAAAAGGAACCAUGUCCCAUUAAGCCUUAUAGCCUCAGUAUGUGAGGAGCCAUGGAGAUUCCCAUCUGUCUGAAAUGAACCCUGGAACAUUAUCUGCUCAGUUACCACCACAUGGUCUCUCAGUCUGGUGGGGGCGGACAGUGUGUAGAAGUAAAUCUGUGAUGUAGACCAUUGAUGUUUUUUUUAAAAAUGUAUUUUGUUCAUUUGUAACCAAAAACAAGCAGAGUAUUUAUGUUUGCAGUGCUACCACCAAACUACACGCAGUGAACGUCAUUGUGGACGUGCUAACAUGCACAGCUUACACCACGAUGGGUCUUCCUGCUGUUACAGCAGAGGUGUCAAACCGGUUCCACGGAGGGCGGAGCUUUUUGGUUUUUCCUCAAAAUUGGUUCCCAGUUCAGACCUAAACAACCACGUGAGGGUAGAAAACUAACCAAUUAGUGACCUAAUUAAUGAAGUACAAGCUGAGAGUGAAAACCUGCUGACACCCGGCCGUCUGUGGAACCGGUUGGACACUGCUAGAGGAUGUUUCCUGAAGUGUGCAGAUUGGAGUCUUCCUUCAGCUACAAACAUUUUGGUGUGAAAGUUGGGCUCACGUUGCCAGACGUUCAUUAUCAUAAAGAAGCCCGAAAUAGACCACUACCUCUACCUUGUGGAUUUCAGCCUAGUUUGUGAUGUGCUUGCAUGCAAUCAAUGUACGUUUCUUAUGUUGUCUGUAUUUAGUUCUGGAAUUGAAUGGUACACACAGCACUUUAACUCUAAUAAUAAAUGUUGCAGCAGAC
This is a long non-coding RNA of Esox lucius (northern pike), 1721 nucleotides long. The record is from Ensembl. NCBI's taxonomy places the organism in Eukaryota, Metazoa, Chordata, Actinopteri, Esociformes, Esocidae.